RNAcentral lists this ribosomal RNA (111 nucleotides) under Caerostris darwini. Lineage: Eukaryota; Metazoa; Arthropoda; Arachnida; Araneae; Araneidae. The record is from RNAcentral.
ACAGCCGUACCAUGCUGAAUAUACCGGUUCUCGUUAGAUCACCGAAGUUAAGCAUCAUUGGGCGCGGUCAGUACUUGGGUGGGUGACCACCUGGGAACACCGCGUGCCGUU